Molecule: unclassified non-coding RNA, 330 nt
Filed under: soil metagenome
Description: partial contains 5.8S ribosomal RNA, internal transcribed spacer 2, and large subunit ribosomal RNA
Rfam family: 5.8S ribosomal RNA (bases 1-120)
Source: RNAcentral
GAUGAAGAACGCAGCGAAAUGCGAUAAGUAAUGUGAAUUGCAGAAUUCAGUGAAUCAUCGAAUCUUUGAACGCACAUUGCGCCCCUUGGUAUUCCGAGGGGCAUGCCUGUUCGAGCGUCAUUUCAACCCUCAAGCACAGCUUGGUCUUGGGCUUCGCCGCUAACCCGGCGGGUCUUAAAAUCAGUGGCGGUGCCGUCGGGCCCUGAGCGCAGUAAUUUCUCUCGCUAUAGGGUCCCGGCGGAUGCUGGCCAGUAACCACCAAUUUUCUAUGGUUGACCUCGGAUCAGGUAGGGAUACCCGCUGAACUUAAGCAUAUCAAUAAGCGGAGGA